This 253-nucleotide long non-coding RNA is filed under the name Coffea arabica (coffee). Its description in RNAcentral is "long non-coding RNA (CARA_LNC005375)". The record is from RNAcentral. Lineage: Eukaryota; Viridiplantae; Streptophyta; Magnoliopsida; Gentianales; Rubiaceae.
UUGAGCUAGUUUAAUAUUCUUUUGUAUAGCUCCUCGAUGGUUGGAAAACCUUACAUGUAUUUUGAUACAACAUUCCCUUUGGGGUUGUAAAUUUGCAACUAUAUGUGUAUAAAAGUGUUUAGUAAUGUUUAUGUGUACCAUUCUGUUUGUAAAUGUCUAUUUUCAAAGUUUAUAUGAUUUAAUGGUAAUCGGUUGGGUUCCAGACAGGUUCGGAUUUCAAAUGACAAAAGAAAAAUUUGGCGGGAAAAGGCAC